UGUCCUCAAUUUCAAUAGCCAUGUCAUAUUUGUUUUGUGAAGUUGAUUGUAGAGAGAACAUCUGGCAAAAUCACAUCGCAAAUAUAGUCUAGGGGAUAAUUAUAAACUUUAGCAGAGUUUAUUUUAAAACAUUGUAUGAUAUUAUGUUGUUGUGUUUGUCGUUAUCUUUUUUCUGCCAUCGACUUUUUUAAUUCAGUAGUUUUUAUGAAAUCUGCACUUGAAACAUAAAAAGCUAGAAAUAUUUUAAUUCUUAUAAGAAAAACUAAUAAAAAAUCAGAAAUCAGAAUAGUCCUAUAGUAAAACCAAAAUAUAUCAAAUUUUAAUGCAGUUAUACGUUCACUUUCCAAAAGCUAUGAUAUACAUUAAUUAAUAAUAGAACCGAUAGUAAACAUGAAAAUAACUUAGAUAUCUUUUAUAAAUCUUAUAUGUUUUCAUAGUGUUACAUAACCAAUUGGACAUAAUCUAUUAUCUCUUAUCUUUUUUUUACAACAAUCUAAUAUUUCUUAUCAUAUUGCCCCUAUUAAUUACAUUUACCAGACUUACUCAUGGCCCAUUUUAUUAUAAUCCAUAUUUACUUUGUCCAUUAUUUAUACGAUGUGUCAAAUAGACUAAUAUAAAUCCCACAUGGAUUUAUAUGUAACUGAAAUAAUAAACCAAUAAACUUAAGUCUUCUGAUAUAACAUAUUUUAUAUGUAGUUCAUAUUUCUAUUGCUUUUUAGCUAAUAACGAACAGUCGCUAAAUAUUAAUGUAAAUGGAAGUUUCUUAAGCAGAUAAGAUAAUCGUCCAACAAAAUAUUAUUUAUAGUAUUAUAGUCUAUUCCUUAAUAUAUAUCACUAAUAAUAAAACUUUACAAACCCAUGUAAAUAAUCAACUUGAAAAAAUAUUAAAUAAAAAUGGUUGUUUAAAUAUGUUAUUUAUGUAUAUUUUAUAUAACUAUAUGCCAAUGCGAAUCUACUAAGACAAAUUAUAAACACUAAUCUAAUUGACAGUUAGAUAAAUAAAUAAAAUUACUCAUAUAAAUAAAAAAAUUGGUGUAUAAAUGUUAUAUUGAACAAAUAUUUAAUACCAAUAAAUGUAGAAAAUAUACUCUAACAAAAACUAUAGAAAAAUAUUGAUAUAUAUAAUUAUAAGAACAAACAUCCGUACAGGUAUGCGGGUCAAACUCUAGUUCGCUUUUUAAAUUUCUUCGAAUAUACUAUAACAAUUUUUUUUUGCAUUAAUGGUUCUAAUAAUUAAUUGGUUCUUCUAUAUAUAUAUAUAUUUAUUUUUUCGACACCAUUGGUUCUAUAUAAACAUCAGCCUAUAUAUGCAUUUCAUCCCAAUCAUUAGCCUAUAUCAUAUUUGAUCGUUUUACAUAUUAUUCCAUGUAAUUUAGUUUUAAUAUUUAUAGUUUUACAUAUUAUUCCAUGUAAUUUAGUUUUAAUAUUUAUAGUUUUAUAUUGUAAAUUUAGAAAAUAUUAUUAAAGAAAGAUAUUUUUUUGUAAAUAUAAUAUUAAUCUCACUCUGCGCAAGUCUCUACCUAGUAUAUACAAAUAAAGAAGGUUAAUAGGUGUGACUUUUUGUUCGCAUGGAAGGUCCACUUUUCUGUCACAAUGUUAGAUGUCCAAUUUGUCUAAAAACUAAAAAAAAAAUCAAAAAACUAUAUGUAUAUCUUUAAUUAAAAUUUAUAUAUAUAUAUAUAUGUCUAAUAAGUCUAAAACUUUAGGUGAGGAUGCAACAAUUGUGUUUUGUCAGACAUAAUUGAUACUCUAUCUGUUUCAUAAUAAGUGUCACUUUAAGUUUUUAAUUUUGUUUUAAAGUAAGUGUCAUUUUACGAUUUCAAUGUAAACUUGUAUAUUAAAUCUAUUUUUUACCCUUUUUAAUAACCAAUCACAGGGUUAAGAAUUCAUUCAAACCAGUCAAUUAACCAAUCUAAACAUAUUUUAGGUACAUAUGCAACAAUUGUGUUUGUCGGACAUAGUUAAUACUCCCUCUAUUUUCAAAUAAGUGUCACUUUAAGUUUUUGAUUUUGUUUCAAAAUAAGUAUCUUUCUACAAUUUCAAAUGCAAAUUUGUAUAUUAAAUCUACUUUUUACCCUUUUGAAUAACCAAUGGAUUUUUAUUUAAAUCAUUGUCAUUUAAUUAAUCAUACAUUAAAUAGAAUUAUAUUAGUCUAUUAUAUAAUUUUUUCAAUUUCCAUGAAAAAUGUACAUUUAUAAUGAAACUGAGGGAGUAUUAAGAUGAUAGAAGAAAAGAAGAAAAUUUACUUAUUUAAAUGAAAUAGAAAAAUAAAAAAUGAUAAUUUAAGUGAAAUAUAAUCAAAUUAUAAGAAAAAUAUGAGCAAAUGAUAAGAGAAUAUGAUCUGGGAAAUGUAAAAAUACUAUCCCAUUCUAAGUAACUAUACUACGAUUUGUAUAUAAUUAAGAGUAUUCUAUAAUUAACUUGGUUUUGACUAGUAUUUAUGAGUUCAUAUUAUAUGAUUUUCCAGUUAGUGAUUACAUGUGUAUUAUGUACAACUAAUAACGACCACACAUUAUAGAGAGAUGAAUCAGCUAUGAAACUCGAUGGCGUUAGUAAAGAUCAAAAUGUUAGUCAUAAUAACAACCGGAAAAAAUCAUAAUAACCGGGAAAAAAUCAUAAUACCUUGAGAAA
Brassica rapa (field mustard) is the source of this 2631-nucleotide long non-coding RNA. RefSeq lists it as uncharacterized. The record is from RefSeq and is a predicted model, not a curated record. Lineage: Eukaryota; Viridiplantae; Streptophyta; Magnoliopsida; Brassicales; Brassicaceae.